UCUCCUGGAAACGGGUGGUAAUGCCGGAUGUUCCACAUGAGCGCAUGCGAGUGUGGGAAAGGCUUUUUGCGGCAUGGGAUGGGGUCGCGUCCUAUCAGCUUGUUGGUGGGGUAACGGCCUACCAAGGCGUUGACGGGUAGCCGGCCUGAGAGGGCGACCGGCCACAUUGGGACUGAGAUACGGCCCAGACUCCUACGGGAGGCAGCAGUGGGGAAUAUUGCACAAUGGGCGCAAGCCUGAUGCAGCGACGCCGCGUGCGGGAUGGAGGCCUUCGGGUUGUAAACCGCUUUUGUUCAAGGGCAAGGCGCGGUUUCGGCCGUGUUGAGUGGAUUGUUCGAAUAAGCACCGGCUAACUACGUGCCAGCAGCCGCGGUAAUACGUAGGGUGCAAGCGUUAUCCGGAUUUAUUGGGCGUAAAGGGCUCGUAGGCGGUUCGUCGCGUCCGGUGUGAAAGUCCAUCGCUUAACGGUGGAUCCGCGCCGGGUACGGGCGGGCUUGAGUGCGGUAGGGGAGACUGGAAUUCCCGGUGUAACGGUGGAAUGUGUAGAUAUCGGGAAGAACACCA
Molecule: ribosomal RNA, 564 nt
Filed under: uncultured Bifidobacterium sp.
Lineage: Bacteria; Bacillati; Actinomycetota; Actinomycetes; Bifidobacteriales; Bifidobacteriaceae
Description: bacterial SSU rRNA
Rfam family: Bacterial small subunit ribosomal RNA
Source: RNAcentral